AGAAUAUUUUCAUGUGUCACCAGGAAGGUUGGUGGCGGGGUUAACAAAUCCAAGAAGUAAGAAGCAAAUUAUUUGAUUUCAAUUGGGAUUGAUAUUAUUGUAUUUGAGUGGCGGACGGGUGAGUAACGCGUGGGUAACCUGCCUUAUACAGGGGGAUAACAGUCAGAAAUGGCUGCUAAUACCGCAUAAGCGCACAGAAUCGCAUGAUUCAGUGUGAAAAACUCCGGUGGUAUAAGAUGGACUCGCGUUGGAUUAGCUAGUUGGUGAGGUAACGGCCCACCAAGGCAACGAUCAGUAGCCGGCGUGAGAGGGCGACCGGCCACAUUGGGAAUGAGACACGGUCCAAACUUCUACGGGAGGCAGCAGUGGGGAAUUUUGCACAAUGGGGGAAAACCUGAUGCAGCGACGCCGGGUGAGGGAAGAAGUACUUUGGUAUGUAAAGCUCUAUCAGCAGGGAAGAUAAUGACGGUACCCGAGUAAGAAGCGCCGGGUAAAUAUGUGCCAGCACAGGCGGUAAUAUGUAUAGGGCAAGAGUUAUCUGGAUUUUCUGGGUGUAAAGAGAGCGCAGAGGGGCCGGCACGUCUCAUGUGUAAACCCGGGGGUCUCAACCCCCCAGAAGCCUCCCGGAACCUCCGCGGCUUGGGUCCUGUAGGGGAGGGUGGAACCCCCGGGUGGCGUUGGAAAGCGCAGAUUCGGGGGGAACACCGGUGGUGAAGGCGGCCCUCUGGUUCGAGACGAGACGUUGAGGCGCGAUAGCUGGGGGAGUGAACAGGAUUAGAUACCGUGGUAGUCCCAGCUGUAAAUGAUGGACGCUAGGUGUGGGGGGACGAUCCCCCCGUGCCGCAGCCAACGCAUUAAGCGUCCCGCCUGGGGAGUACGGCCGCAAGGCUAAAACUCAAAGGAAUUGUCGGGGGCCCGCACAAGCAGCGGAGCAUGUGGCUUAAUUCGAAGCAACGCGAAGAACCUUAUCAGGGCUUGACAUAUGGGUGAAGCGGGGGAGACCCCGUGGCCGAGAGGAGCCCAUACAGGUGGUGCAUGGCUGUUGUCAGCUCGUGUCGUGAGAUGUUGGGUUAAGUCCCACAACGAGUCGCAACCCCCGCCGCGUGUUGCCAUCGGGUGAUGCCGGGAACCCACGCGGGACCGCCGCCGUCAAGGCGGAGGAGGGCGGGGACGACGUCAAGUCAUCAUGCCCCUUAUGCCCUGGGCUGCACACGUGCUACAAUGGCCGGUACAGAGGGAUGCCACCCCGCGAGGGGGAGCGGAUCCCGGAAAGCCGGCCCCAGUUCGGAUUGGGGGCUGCAACCCGCCCCCAUGAAGUCGGAGUUGCUAGUAAUCGCGGAUCAGCAUGCCGCGGUGAAUGCGUUCCCGGGCCUUGCACUCACCGCCCGUCA
Molecule: ribosomal RNA, 1391 nt
Filed under: uncultured bacterium
Lineage: Bacteria
Description: bacterial SSU rRNA
Rfam family: Bacterial small subunit ribosomal RNA
Source: RNAcentral